This 475-nucleotide long non-coding RNA is filed under the name Vigna radiata. RNAcentral describes it as "long non-coding RNA (VRAD_LNC012459)". Lineage: Eukaryota; Viridiplantae; Streptophyta; Magnoliopsida; Fabales; Fabaceae. The record is from RNAcentral.
UAAACCCAAAAGCUGAAACACAUGACGCUCAAAAUAACAAACUUCGAACCUUCUGAAUUUCGUGCUCCAAAAAUUAGAAUAAAUACCACCUGGACAGAGAAAGGGGAGAAAAGAAAUACGUUAAACAUUCUCUGCUUUGCUUUCGUGGUUCUGACCACUACUCUAACAUGUUUAGCCUCCUACGACGUUCGGUGGGGCUGACUGUGGGGCGAUUGUAUUUCAAGAGGCACGAGCAUGAUGACGUGAUUCGUCCAAUGAAGUCAGUUGCAGAAGAGUUGGAGAAACAAGAGGAAGAGAAAAAGAAAAGCUUGGAGGAAUCAAAAAAGGUAUGGAAGGACAUUGCAGAGAAUGAAAUGCCGAAGUUAGACAAGACGAGUAGGGAAUAUUAUAAGAAGAAGCAUGUUCCAUCGGAGGAGAAAAAGAAAAGCUUGGAGGAAGGAAAAAAGGUAUGGAAGGACAUAAUAGAGAACAANNN